AGGUCUUAGGAUCGUAAAGCACUUCCCAGGGAUGAUAAUGACAGUACCUGGUAAGAAACCCCGGCUAACUCCGUGCCAGCAGCCGCGGUAAUACGGAGGGGGUUAGCGUUGUUCGGAAUUACUGGGCGUAAAGCGUACGUAGGCGGAUCAGAAAGUUGGGGGUGAAAUCCCGGGGCUCAACCCCGGAACUGCCUCCAAAACUCCUGGUCUUGAGUUCGAGAGAGGUGAGUGGAAUUCCAAGUGUAGAGGUGAAAUUCGUAGAUAUUUGGAGGAACACCAGUGGCGAAGGCGGCUCACUGGCUCGAUACUGACGCUGAGGUACGAAAGUGUGGGGAGCAAACAGGAUUAGAUACCCUGGUAGUCCACACCGUAAACGAUGAAUGCCAGUCGUCGGGCAGUAUACUGUUCGGUGACACACCUAACGGAUUAAGCAUUCCGCCUGGGGAGUACGGUCGCAAGAUUAAAACUCAAAGGAAUUGACGGGGGCCCGCACAAGCGGUGUGGUAAGGUUCUGCGCGUUGCUUCGAAUUAAACCACAUGCUCACCCUUGACAUCCUGUGCUAACCCGAGAGAUCGGGCGUUCACUUCGGUGACGCAGUGACAGGUGCUGCAUGGCUGUCGUCAGCUCGUGUCGUGAGAUGUUCGGUUAAGUCCGGCAACGAGCGCAACCCACAUCCUUAGUUGCCAGCAGUUCGGCUGGGCACUCUAAGGAAACUGCCCGUGAUAAGCGGGAGGAAGGUGUGGAUGACGUCAAGUCCUCAUGGCCCUUACGGGUUGGGCUACACACGUGCUACAAUGGCAGUGACAAUGGGUUAAUCCCCAAAAGCUGUCUCAGUUCGGAUUGGGGUCUGCAACUCGACCCCAUGAAGUCGGAAUCGCUAGUAAUCGUGGAACAGCAUGCCACGGUGAAUACGUUCCCGGGCCUUGUACACACCGCCCGUCACACCAUGGGAGUUGGUUCUACCCGACGGCCGUGCGCCAACCUUUCGAGGAGGCAGCGGACCACGGUAGGAUCAGCGACUGGGGUGAAGUCGUAACAAGGUAGAUCAUCAACACCACGCGGCAUGGCCUAGAAUCAAGGCUUGGC
This 1087-nucleotide ribosomal RNA is filed under the name uncultured bacterium. Its description in RNAcentral is "bacterial SSU rRNA". It matches the Rfam family "Bacterial small subunit ribosomal RNA", at positions 412 to 1533 of the family's 1533-position model. The record is from RNAcentral.